CUAUACAUGCAAGUCGAACGAACUCUGGGUAUUGAUUGGUGCUUGCAUCAUGAUUUACAUUUGAGUGAGUGGCGAACUGGUGAGUAACACGUGGGAAACCUGCCCAGAAGCGGGGGAUAACACCUGGAAACAGAUGCUAAUACCGCAUAACAACUUGGACCGCAUGGUCCGAGCUUGAAAGAUGGCUUCGGCUAUCACUUUUGGAUGGUCCCGCGGCGUAUUAGCUAGAUGGUGGGGUAACGGCUCACCAUGGCAAUGAUACGUAGCCGACCUGAGAGGGUAAUCGGCCACAUUGGGACUGAGACACGGCCCAAACUCCUACGGGAGGCAGCAGUAGGGAAUCUUCCACAAUGGACGAAAGUCUGAUGGAGCAACUCCCCGAGAGUGAAGAAGGGUUUCAGCACGGAUAUCUCAUCUGUAAAAUCUGUUGUUAGGGAAGAACAACUGCCCUUCAAUUGUGGCGGUACCUUGACGGUACCUAACCAGAAAGCCACGGCUAACUACGUACCAUCAGCCGCGGUAAUACGUAGGUGGCAAGCGUUGUCCGGAAUUAUUGGGUGUUACAAACUCUCAUGGUGUGACGGGCGGUGUGUACAAGGCCCGGGAACGUAUUCACCGCGGCAUGCUGAUCCGCGAUUACUAGCGAUUCCGACUUCAUGUAGGCGAGUUGCAGCCUACAAUCCGAACUGAGAAUGGCUUUAAGAGAUUAGCUUACUCUCGCGAGUUCGCAACUCGUUGUACCAUCCAUUGUAGCACGUGUGUAGCCCAGGUCAUAAGGGGCAUGAUGAUUUGACGUCAUCCCCACCUUCCUCCGGUUUGUCACCGGCAGUCUCACCAGAGUGCCCAACUUAAUGCUGGCAACUGAUAAUAAGGGUUGCGCUCGUUGCGGGACUUAACCCAACAUCUCACGACACGAGCUGACGACAACCAUGCACCACCUGUAUCCAUGAACUCAAACGAAUUGACGGGGGCCCGCACAAGCGGUGGAGCAUGUGGUUUAAUUUGAAGCUACGCGAAGAACCUUACCAGGUCUUGACAUACUAUGCAAAUCUAAGAGAUUAGACGUUCCCUUCGGGGACAUGGAUACAGGUGGUGCAUGGUUGUCGUCAGCUCGUGUCGUGAGAUGUUGGGUUAAGUCCCGCAACGAGCGCAACCCUUAUUAUCAGUUGCCAGCAUUAAGUUGGGCACUCUGGUGAGACUGCCGGUGACAAACCGGAGGAAGGUGGGGAUGACGUCAAAUCAUCAUGCCCCUUAUGACCUGGGCUACACACGUGCUACAAUGGAUGGUACAACGAGUUGCGAACUCGCGAGAGUAAGCUAAUCUCUUAAAGCCAUUCUCAGUUCGGAUUGUAGGCUGCAACUCGCCUACAUGAAGUCGGAAUCGCUAGUAAUCGCGGAUCAGCAUGCCGCGGUGAAUACGUUCCCGGGCCUUGUACACACCGCCCGUCACACCAUGAGAGUUUGUAACACCCAAAGUCGGUGGGGUAACCUUUUAGGAACCAGCCGCCUAAGGUGGGACAGAUGAUUAGGG
RNAcentral lists this ribosomal RNA (1531 nucleotides) under Lactiplantibacillus plantarum. RNAcentral describes it as "bacterial SSU rRNA". It matches the Rfam family "Bacterial small subunit ribosomal RNA". The record is from RNAcentral. Lineage: Bacteria; Bacillati; Bacillota; Bacilli; Lactobacillales; Lactobacillaceae.